AGAGUUUGAUUAUGGCUCAGGAUGAACGGCUGGCGGCGUGCCUAACACAUGCAAGUCGAACGAAGCAUACGGACUGGAGAUUCGUCGAAGGACCGUAUGACUUAGUGGCGGACGGGUGAGUAAUGUAUGAGCAACCUGCCUUUCAGAGGGGGACAACAGUUGGAAACGACUGCUAAUACCGCGUAACGUAUCGUGAGGGCAUCCUCGAGAUACCAAAGGAGCAAUCCGCUGAAAGAUGGGCUCAUAUCUGAUUAGCUUGUUGGCGGGGUAACGGCCCACCAAGGCGACGAUCAGUAGCCGGACUGAGAGGUUGAACGGCCACAUUGGGACUGAGAUACGGCCCAGACUCCUACGGGAGGCAGCAGUGGGGAAUAUUGGGCAAUGGGCGAAAGCCUAGACCCAGCAACGCCGCGUGAAGGAAGAAGGUCUUCGGAUUGUAAACUUCUUUUAUGAGGGACGAAGGACGUGACGGUACCUCAUGAAUAAGCCACGGCUAACUACGUGCCAGCCGCCGC
This 515-nucleotide ribosomal RNA is filed under the name uncultured bacterium. RNAcentral's name for it is "bacterial SSU rRNA". It matches the Rfam family "Bacterial small subunit ribosomal RNA", at positions 8 to 518 of the family's 1533-position model. The record is from RNAcentral.